UAUGGUCAUAUCAUGUCAAAACACCUGUUCUCAUAUGAUCACCAAAGUUAAGCGAUGUCAAGCUUGGUCACUACCUAGAUAGGUAACUGCUUGGGAAAUACCAAGUGCUGUAAG
Non-coding RNA from Acanthosepion pharaonis, 114 nucleotides. Lineage: Eukaryota; Metazoa; Mollusca; Cephalopoda; Sepiida; Sepiidae. The record is from the annotation of a GenBank genome assembly.